GGCGCCGUGGCGAAGUAGCUAACGCAUCGGUCUGCAAAACCGAGAUACAGGGGUGCAAAUCCCCUCGGCGCCU
Molecule: transfer RNA, 73 nt
Filed under: Candidatus Sungiibacteriota bacterium
Lineage: Bacteria; Candidatus Sungiibacteriota
Description: tRNA-Cys
Rfam family: tRNA
About the family: Transfer RNA (tRNA) molecules are approximately 80 nucleotides in length.
Source: RNAcentral